RNAcentral lists this unclassified non-coding RNA (334 nucleotides) under soil metagenome. RNAcentral's name for it is "partial contains 5.8S ribosomal RNA, internal transcribed spacer 2, and large subunit ribosomal RNA". The stretch from base 1 to 120 matches the Rfam family "5.8S ribosomal RNA", at positions 35 to 154 of the family's 154-position model. The record is from RNAcentral.
GAUGAAGAACGUAGUGAAAUGCGAUAAGUAAUGUGAAUUGCAGAAUUCAGUGAAUCAUCGAAUCUUUGAACGCACAUUGCGCCCGCCAGUAUUCUGGCGGGCAUGCCUGUUCGAGCGUCAUUUCAACCAUCAAGCCCCAGGCUUGUGUUGGGGACCUGCGGCUGCCGCAGGCCCUGAAAACCAGUGGCGGGCUCGCUAUCACACCGAGUGCAGUAGUUUACUCUUCGCUCAGGACGUGUAGCGGGUUCCGGCCGUGAAACCCCCCAAUUUUCAAGGUUGACCUCGGAUCAGGUAGGAAUACCCGCUGAACUUAAGCAUAUCAAUAAGCGGAGGA